This 73-nucleotide transfer RNA is filed under the name Ovis aries (sheep). It matches the Rfam family "tRNA". Rfam says of the family: Transfer RNA (tRNA) molecules are approximately 80 nucleotides in length. Lineage: Eukaryota; Metazoa; Chordata; Mammalia; Artiodactyla; Bovidae. The record is from Rfam by way of RNAcentral.
UCCCAUGUGGCUCAGCUGGUAAAGAAUCUGCCUGUAAUGCAGGCAGACCUGGGUUUGAUCCCUGGGUUGGGAA